This 497-nucleotide ribosomal RNA is filed under the name uncultured bacterium. RNAcentral's name for it is "partial 16S ribosomal RNA". It matches the Rfam family "Bacterial small subunit ribosomal RNA", at positions 28 to 507 of the family's 1533-position model. The record is from RNAcentral.
GAUGAACGCUGGCGGCGUGCCUAAUACAUGCAAGUCGAGCGAACGGACGAGGAGCUUGCUUUUCUGAUGUUAGCGGCGGACGGGUGAGUAACACGUGGAUAACCUACCUAUAAGACUGGGAUAACUUCGGGAAACCGGAGCUAAUACCGGAUAAUAUUUUGAACCGCAUGGUUCAAAAGUGAAAGACGGUCUUGCUGUCACUUAUAGAUGGAUCCGCGCUGCAUUAGCUAGUUGGUAAGGUAACGGCUUACCAAGGCAACGAUGCAUAGCCGACCUGAGAGGGUGAUCGGCCACACUGGAACUGAGACACGGUCCAGACUCCUACGGGAGGCAGCAGUAGGGAAUCUUCCGCAAUGGGCGAAAGCCUGACGGAGCAACGCCGCGUGAGUGAUGAAGGUCUUCGGAUCGUAAAACUCUGUUAUUAGGGAAGAACAAAUGUGCAAGUAACUGUGCACAUCUUGACGGUACCUAAUCAGAAAGCCACGGCUAACUACGUG